Xyrichtys novacula (pearly razorfish) is the source of this 1272-nucleotide non-coding RNA. The record is from the annotation of a GenBank genome assembly. Lineage: Eukaryota; Metazoa; Chordata; Actinopteri; Labriformes; Labridae.
UUUUGGUUGUGAAGAACUCUGCUCUGGAUGUUUCCUAACAUGGUCACUCUGACUAAAACGAUCCUUGUUGCUCUAAACAAUCUUUUUUUUUCCCACCAAAGAACUCGAUUUGUCUCCUGUCACCGGUAAAAAUAAACAGACGAGGAGUGAAGCAGAAAGGAGAUGAAUCAGUCCUUGAAUAAGAAUUGAGCAGAACCCGCCAAAACAAUCUGUCUGUGAAAUGUUCCCAGUCUUAUUUGGUGCAAUUUUUCUACGUUUUAUAACUACCUACUUUUAAUAAUGUUUGAAAACUAUCAGCAGAUACUGUAAGAAAUGAUCAUAAAUGUUCUUCCUUGAGCUGUGUCACCCCGCUGUAGUCCGUAAUGGACUGGCCCGAGGUCUCACUACAAACAAGCAGCUGCUGGAAGAGAGUAGGUGAGUUGUGUUUAGUCUCUUUGCCACACACUCAACAAAAAAUUCACUCUACAGCCACAAAUAAUGUUCAGAACAGCACCUAAAUUCAUCAACAGGACAUAUAGGGUCACAGCCACCAAACAUCUUUUUAACUUUGCCUAAUUUCUUAAGCAAAGAGAUUAAACACAACUCACCUACUCUCCUCCAGCAGUCGCUUGUUUGUAGAAAGACUUUGGGCUAAUCUAUUGCGGACUGCUCUGGGGUUACGCAGCUCAAGGAAGAAUAUAUAUGAUCAUAGAAUAUCCCUUUAAUUCUGCAGGAAAAGACAUUUUUGAAUAUGGAGGUUUAUGGAAAUGCACUUACUUGUGAAGUACCCCUCUACUGGGCAUCGGAGGAACUGCAGCUUUUGGCUCUUAAACUUUAAUUUGUCAGUGUAAAAGGCUGCAGCUCGGACAAAAACUGAAAUUUUAAGUCGCAAACAAACACAUUUAUUUUCCAGUGUUUGUAAAAACAUGAAAUAAAUCAUGAAACGUUCAUUGUCUUGUUUAAAGGAAGCUGUUUACUGUGUUCGAUAAAUGAAGACUGCAGCGUUGAAGUAAUUUCCUCUUGAAAAAAUAAUAAUUUUCUUGUCUACUCACCUAAUAAAUCAUGCUAAUUGCUCAGAGUUCAGCUCUCAGACUCGCAGCACAGGACAGUGAGUGAGCUCUAAUGGUCCCUGUGUACACAGAAUCAUUAUCACGUAACAAAAGUGCCACUUAAUUUGAUUUUUGCCCUGUUUGCUCUCUUAUGUCUCAGUCUCUUUUUUCACUGGUGUCAGAAAGAUGAAGAAACAACAUCAGCUGUCUGCCCUUGAAGAUAAAUCCUCCCCACCUGCCUUUU